RNAcentral lists this ribosomal RNA (407 nucleotides) under uncultured bacterium. Its description in RNAcentral is "partial 16S ribosomal RNA". It matches the Rfam family "Bacterial small subunit ribosomal RNA", at positions 28 to 526 of the family's 1533-position model. The record is from RNAcentral.
GACGAACGCUGGCGGCAUGCCUAAUACAUGCAAGUAGAACGCAGUUGCGAACGGGUGAGUAACGCGUAGGUAACUGCCUGGUAGCGGGGGAUAACUAUGGGAAACGAUAGCUAAUACCGCAUACUACCAGAUGGACCUGCGUUGUAUUAGCUAGUUGGUGAGGUAACGGCCAACCAAGGCAACGAUACAUAGCCGACCUGAGAGGGGGAUCGGCGAGACUGGGACUGGGACACGGCCCAGACUCCUACGGUAGGCCGCAGUAGGGAAGCUGCGGCAAUGGGGGGAACCCUGACCGAGCAACGCCGCGUGGGUGAAUAAGGUUUUCGGAUCGUAAAGCUCUGUGGUUCAGGAAGCGGUACUUACCCAGAAAGGGACGGCUAACUCCGUGCCAGCCGCCGCGGUAAUAC